GAUGAACGCUGGCGGCGUGCCUAACACAUGCAAGUCGAGCGGCAGCGCCGGGUGCUUGCACCCUGUCCGCGAGCGGCGCGCGGCUGAGUAACGCGUGGAAACGUGCCCCAAAGUGAGGAAUAACUGACCGAAAGGGUAGCUAAUACCGCAUAUUAUCUCCGCAUCAAAGGGUUUAUCCGCGUUGGUAGCGGCUCGCGUCGGAUUUGGUAGUUGGUGAGGUAGUGGCUCACCAAGCCGACGAUGCGGAGCUGGACUGGUAGGCGGACACACCAGACUGGAAAUGAGACCCAGACCAGACUGCGACGCGAGGCAGCAGUGUAGUAUCCUCCGGAAUGAGGGAAAGUCCGGUGAAGCAACGCGGGGUGCAGGGGGAAGGGGUUUGGGUUGUAAACUGCUCUUAUAAGUGAGGAAUAUGACGGUAACUGAUGAAGAAGGACCGGCUAACUACGUG
This 451-nucleotide ribosomal RNA is filed under the name uncultured bacterium. RNAcentral describes it as "partial 16S ribosomal RNA". It matches the Rfam family "Bacterial small subunit ribosomal RNA", at positions 28 to 507 of the family's 1533-position model. The record is from RNAcentral.